Molecule: transfer RNA, 73 nt
Filed under: Sus scrofa (pig)
Lineage: Eukaryota; Metazoa; Chordata; Mammalia; Artiodactyla; Suidae
Rfam family: tRNA
About the family: Transfer RNA (tRNA) molecules are approximately 80 nucleotides in length.
Source: Rfam by way of RNAcentral
UCCCUGGUGGCCUAGUGGUUAAGGUUUUGGCUUUGUCACCAUUGUGGCUCAGGUUCAAUCCCUGGCCUGGGAA